CUCCUCGUACGACAGAUGAUUUGUUGUGCUUCAUUUCAAAGUCUGUGCUGUGUACACUAUCAACUUCUGAGAAGGGUGUUAAGUGAAGACUUGGUUGAAGUUCUAUGCUUGUCUCCUGCUUUCUCACAAUCUCAGAAGGCAGAGAAUGAGGACAGAUACACGUCACACACUGGGGAGGAUUGCACCACACAAUCUUCAGCACAACCUGUGUGGUUCUGCUUAUAAAUCCAGGAUUAAGACUUUCUAUAACCACUUAAGAAGGUGCAGACCCAUUGUACAGAAGCACACAUCUACAGAGGAAC
This is a long non-coding RNA of Mauremys mutica (yellowpond turtle), 302 nucleotides long. RefSeq lists it as uncharacterized. NCBI's taxonomy places the organism in Eukaryota, Metazoa, Chordata, Testudines, Geoemydidae. The record is from RefSeq and is a predicted model, not a curated record. The transcript is spliced from 3 exons.